This 301-nucleotide ribosomal RNA is filed under the name uncultured bacterium. Its description in RNAcentral is "partial 16S ribosomal RNA". It matches the Rfam family "Bacterial small subunit ribosomal RNA", at positions 509 to 807 of the family's 1533-position model. The record is from RNAcentral.
CAGCCGCCACGGUAAUACGUAGGGUGCAAGCGUUAAUCGGAAUUACUGGGCGUAAAGCGUGCGCAGGCGGUUCGCUAAGACAGAUGUGAAAUCCCCGGGCUUAACCUGGGAACUGCAUUUGUGACUGGCGGGCUAGAGUAUGGCAGAGGGGGGUAGAAUUCCACGUGUAGCAGUGAAAUGCGUAGAUAUGUGGAGGAAUACCGAUGGCGAAGGCAGCCCCCUGGGAUAACACUGACGCUCAUGCACGAAAGCGUGGGGAGCAAACAGGAUUAGAUACCCCAGUAGUCCCUGUCUCUUAUAC